UGCAUCGAUGAAGAACGCAGCGAAAUGCGAUAAGUAAUGUGAAUUGCAGAAUUCAGUGAAUCAUCGAAUCUUUGAACGCACAUUGCGCCCCCUGGCAUUCCGGGGGGCAUGCCUGUUCGAGCGUCAUUACACCACUCAAGCCUGGCUUGGUAUUGAGCGCCGCGGCCUGCCCGCGCGCUCCAAUGUCUCCGGCUGAGCCGUCCGUCUCCAAGCGUUGUGAAUAGCGAUCGCUUGCGAGGCCCGGGCGGUUCGACGCCGUUAAACCCCCCAUUUUCUAUGGUUGACCUCGGAUCAGGUAGGGAUACCCGCUGAACUUAAGCAUAUCAAUAAGCGGAGGA
Molecule: ribosomal RNA, 338 nt
Filed under: uncultured fungus
Lineage: Eukaryota; Fungi
Description: eukaryotic LSU rRNA
Rfam family: 5.8S ribosomal RNA (bases 1-126)
Source: RNAcentral